GAAUUAUAUUAGGCUAUAUUAUAAUAUAAUACAAAUUUAUAAUAUAUUAUAUAACAUGAUACUGUAGGUUCUGUAAUGCAGAGAGAAAGGGAAUGAGUGAAUCACUGGGGUGUCAAAAGCUAUCUAUCUGUCUCCCUUUUAUCAAUAUCAGCCUCUGCUUUUAUGAUUAUUUUAGUGAUAAGUAAAAGAAGAAGAAAGAAAAGAAAAGAAGAGUACGAAACGCCUGCCCCCAGGUCCAAUGUCUAAUCCGAAGUACUAAAGGUGAAGAGUGUGCGACUGGUCAAAGGUCAGAAUCUGCUGUAUGGACAGACGGUGGGGAAGAGCACACGCGAUCAACUUGCAAGAACAAGACGCGAAACGUUUUUAAUUCUGCAAUGCUGUCGGUUUGAGCAGUUGAGGGAUUUGAACACGCAGCGAAACUCCAGAAUGGCACGAAAAACAUCUGUCGUCGUUGUUGAUGCGUGAGGGUCAGAAGAGGACGGCCAGACAGCUUUGAGCUGACGGG
Molecule: long non-coding RNA, 505 nt
Organism: Ictalurus punctatus (channel catfish)
Lineage: Eukaryota; Metazoa; Chordata; Actinopteri; Siluriformes; Ictaluridae
Source: Ensembl